This 465-nucleotide ribosomal RNA is filed under the name uncultured bacterium. RNAcentral describes it as "partial 16S ribosomal RNA". It matches the Rfam family "Bacterial small subunit ribosomal RNA", at positions 28 to 507 of the family's 1533-position model. The record is from RNAcentral.
GACGAACGCUGGCGGCGUGCUUAACACAUGCAAGUCGUACGGUAAGGCCCUUUCGGGGGUCCACGAGUGGCGGACGGGUGCGUAACACGUGGUUAACCUGCCCACAACUUUGGGAUAACGCUAGGUAACUGGUGCUAAUACUGGCUAUGUGCUCCUGCUGCAUGGUGGGGGUUGGAAAGCUCCGGCGGUUGUGGAUGGACUCGCGGCCUAUCAGCUUGUUGGUGGGGUAGUGGCCUACCAAGGCGGCGACGGGUAGCCGGCCUGAGAGGGUGACCGGCCACAUUGGGACGGAGAUACGGCCCAGAAUCCUACGGGAGGCAGCAGUGGGGAAUAUUGCACAAUGGGAGCAAGCCUGAUGCAGCAACGCCGCGUGCGGGAUGACGGCCUUCGGGUUGUAAACCGAUUUCAGCAGGGACGAAGCUUUUUGUGACGGUACCUGAAGAAGAAGCACCGGCUAACUACGUG